Pelobates cultripes (western spadefoot toad) is the source of this 523-nucleotide non-coding RNA. Lineage: Eukaryota; Metazoa; Chordata; Amphibia; Anura; Pelobatidae. The record is from the annotation of a GenBank genome assembly.
GUCAAUUUUUAAUGCUUUAUUCAAUGGUGCAAAUUCUAGAGAUGUGACAAUUCCCCUUUAUCAAUUUUACAAGUUUGAUUUUAGUUCCAGUGCUUAUUUGCCUUUUAAUCUAAUUUAAUUUAUGUAAUUGAUUAACAUGGGAUCAUUAGCUAACAUGUCGAUAUAGAUCAGCUAUGAGCUUUUAACUUCCCUGUUUUUGCCUAAACACUGCAGUCUAAUCAGUUCUUCUUAAUAAAACCCUUGGUGUUAAUUUGUGUACAGUAUAUGUAAAAUGUUUUGAGACACUCCAAGCACCCAAACCACUUCAGCCUGCGCACUAGUUAAGGUGCGAGGAUUUGCCUGGCUCUGUCCCAGUGUAAUCUGCUAAACCAUUUCAGCAUGGUUUGACAACUUAUCUGGGUCCACCAGUUGCCAGCGUCACAUUCGGUCUUCGUCUGCAGCAGAUGUCACAUGUGUCUGUUCAGCUAUGCACAGCUGAUUCCCUGCUUCUAGAGAAGACCUGAAAAGGGACACUGCCAUGGGG